This 304-nucleotide ribosomal RNA is filed under the name uncultured bacterium. RNAcentral's name for it is "partial 16S ribosomal RNA". It matches the Rfam family "Bacterial small subunit ribosomal RNA", at positions 509 to 807 of the family's 1533-position model. The record is from RNAcentral.
CAGCAGCCGCCACGGUAAUACGGAGGGUGCAAGCGUUAAUCGGAAUUACUGGGCGUAAAGCGUGCGUAGGUGGUGGUUUAAGUCCGUUGUGAAAGCCCUGGGCUCAACCUGGGAAUUGCAGUGGAUACUGGGUCACUAGAGUGUGGUAGAGGAUAGUGGAAUUUCCGGUGUAGCAGUGAAAUGCGUAGAGAUCGGAAGGAACAUCUGUGGCGAAGGCGACUAUCUGGGCCAACACUGACACUGAGGCACGAAAGCGUGGGGAGCAAACAGGAUUAGAUACCCCGGUAGUCCCUGUCUCUUAUAC